This 439-nucleotide ribosomal RNA is filed under the name uncultured bacterium. RNAcentral's name for it is "partial 16S ribosomal RNA". It matches the Rfam family "Bacterial small subunit ribosomal RNA", at positions 339 to 795 of the family's 1533-position model. The record is from RNAcentral.
CUACGGGAGGCUGCAGUGAGGAAUAUUGCACAAUGCGGGGAACCCUGAUGCAGCAACGCCGCGUGGAGGAUGACGCAUUUCGGUGUGUAAACUCCUUUUAUAUGUCAAGAAAAUGACGGUAGCAUAUGAAUAAGCACCGGCUAACUCCGUGCCAGCAGCCGCGGUAAUACGGAGGGUGCAAGCGUUACUCGGAAUCACUGGGCGUAAAGGACGCGUAGGCGGGUUGGAAAGUCAGGUGUGAAAUCCUACAGCUUAACUGUAGAACUGCACUUGAAACUUCUAAUCUAGAGUAUGGGAGGGGGAGAUGGAAUUAGUGGUGUAUGGGUAAAAUCCGUAGAUAUCACUAGGAAUACCUAAAGCGAAGGCGAUCUCCUGGAACAUUACUGACGCUAAGGCGUGAAAGCGUGGGGAGCAAACAGGAUUAGAUACCCGAGUAGUC